Molecule: microRNA, 23 nt
Filed under: Bos taurus (domestic cattle)
Lineage: Eukaryota; Metazoa; Chordata; Mammalia; Artiodactyla; Bovidae
Description: bta-miR-2376
Source: miRBase by way of RNAcentral
CCUCUGAGAUCUUGCUAGGCGCU